This 441-nucleotide ribosomal RNA is filed under the name Peptoniphilus sp. oral taxon G26. RNAcentral's name for it is "bacterial SSU rRNA". It matches the Rfam family "Bacterial small subunit ribosomal RNA", at positions 28 to 448 of the family's 1533-position model. The record is from RNAcentral. Lineage: Bacteria; Bacillati; Bacillota; Tissierellia; Tissierellales; Peptoniphilaceae.
GACGAACGCUGGCGGCGCGCUUAACACAUGCAAGUCGAGCGAUGAAAUCUUAACAGAACCCUUCGGGGCGAAGAUAAGACGGAUUAGCGGCGGACGGGUGAGUAACACGUGAGUAACCUGCCUUUUACACAGGGAUAGCCUCGGGAAACCGGGAUUAAAACCUGAUGAAACUAUCAAAUCACAUGAUUAAGAAAGUUAAAACUCCGGUGGUAAAAGAUGGACUCGCGUCCCAUUAGCUAGUUGGUGAAGGUAACGGCCCACCAAGGCAACGAUGGGUAGCCGACCUGAGAGGGUGAACGGCCACAUUGGAACUGAGAAACGGUCCAAACUCCUACGGGAGGCAGCAGUGGGGAAUAUUGCACAAUGGAGGGAACUCUGAUGCAGCGACGCCGCGUGAACGAAGAAGGCUUUCGAGUCGUAAAGUUCUUUUAUGUGGGAAGA